CUGUGCUAGACGGGGAGGUAGCGGUGCCUUGUAACCUGCAAUCCGCUAUAGCAGGGUUUAAGUCCAUCUAGAGGUCUAACUCUUGUAGAGCUGCCCUAGAUAAGUGGUGAUGAUAUUUGGGUCCUGCGCAAUGAAAGCUCACGAACCCCGCCAGGUCCGGAAGGAAGCAACGGUAAGUGAUUACUUUCAUGUGCCGCAGGGGUGCCUAAAUUGAGCUAACUGUUUAGGUAACGUCUAUGAGAUUAGAACAAAGGAUGGUGCACAG
This 265-nucleotide signal recognition particle RNA is filed under the name Tepidibacter formicigenes DSM 15518. RNAcentral's name for it is "Bacterial large signal recognition particle RNA". It matches the Rfam family "Bacterial large signal recognition particle RNA". From Rfam's summary of the family: The signal recognition particle (SRP) is a universally conserved ribonucleoprotein involved in the co-translational targeting of proteins to membranes. Archaeal SRP consists of a 7S RNA and homologues of the eukaryotic SRP19 and SRP54 proteins. Lineage: Bacteria; Bacillati; Bacillota; Clostridia; Peptostreptococcales; Peptostreptococcaceae. The record is from RNAcentral.